CUGUGGAAUGAUCUCCCUGCAUCAAUAAAACAGUCAGAUUCAGUAGAGACUUUCAAGUCCAGACUUAUGACGCACUUAUUUUCACUUCCAUAUGGCUAGCAUACUGGCAUAGUAUGUUACUAUGCUUCGUACCCUUUUAAAUGAAUUUUAUUAGUCAACAAAGUGGGUCGCAGCCUCAACUUUAUCUAAAGUCUGGGUCUUCUAGUGAAGCUUAGGUCUAGUGGCCGGCGAUCACAUUAGCAUUUCUUCUAUGUACAGGAUGUUGUAUUUG
Molecule: long non-coding RNA, 271 nt
Organism: Thalassophryne amazonica
Lineage: Eukaryota; Metazoa; Chordata; Actinopteri; Batrachoidiformes; Batrachoididae
Exons: 3
Source: RefSeq, a predicted model, not a curated record